UACGGGGGGAGUAAGCGUUGUUCGGAAUUACUGGGCGUAAAGGGUUUGUAGGUGGCUUGCUAAGUCAGACGUGAAAUCCCUCAGCUUAACUGGGGAACUGCGUCUGAGACUGGCGAGCUUGAGUGCAGGAGAGGAACGCGGAAUUCCGAGUGUAGAGGUGAAAUUCGUAGAUAUUCGGAAGAACACCAGUGGCGAAGGCGACUCACUGGACACGUAUUGACGCUGAGGUGCGAAAGCGUGGGGAGCAAACAGG
This 253-nucleotide ribosomal RNA is filed under the name uncultured prokaryote. RNAcentral's name for it is "partial 16S ribosomal RNA". It matches the Rfam family "Bacterial small subunit ribosomal RNA", at positions 524 to 776 of the family's 1533-position model. The record is from RNAcentral.